This 357-nucleotide long non-coding RNA is filed under the name Olea europaea (common olive). RNAcentral's name for it is "long non-coding RNA (OEUR_LNC014954)". The record is from RNAcentral. Lineage: Eukaryota; Viridiplantae; Streptophyta; Magnoliopsida; Lamiales; Oleaceae.
AAAUGUACAUACAAUUUGAAUUCUUGACGCAACGCCACCGUUCUGUAAAGAAGUCACAAGGGCCGCCGAAGCUGUCACCACCACCGCCGCCUCUCCAGCAAAAAUACAAAUCACGGGGAAUCCAACUUUUCCUAUCAUAUAAAUUAUUUUAUUGUUCAUUAUUAUGCACGUGUACAAAAGUAGUGGGGGCUUUCUCUAAAAGGGUAUUAUAAAGUUAAUUCCAUCUCUGCUGGCUAAUACAAAAUUUGCUAGUAUGUAAUCACGUAUGGCUAUAUGUGGGCUUAUAAGGAAGUGGUUUACUUUAUAUUUAUUUUUCUGAAGUAAUAAUACUGUUAAUUAUUUUAAAUAUUCAGCACA